RNAcentral lists this transfer RNA (72 nucleotides) under Hexanchus griseus. Its description in RNAcentral is "tRNA-Gln". The stretch from base 10 to 72 matches the Rfam family "tRNA", at positions 1 to 62 of the family's 71-position model. From Rfam's summary of the family: Transfer RNA (tRNA) molecules are approximately 80 nucleotides in length. The record is from RNAcentral. Lineage: Eukaryota; Metazoa; Chordata; Chondrichthyes; Hexanchiformes; Hexanchidae.
GACUUUACUUAGGAAAUAGUAUAAUUGGGAAUACCAAGAGUUUUGAUCUCUUUGAUGUAGGUUCAAGUCCUA